RNAcentral lists this ribosomal RNA (674 nucleotides) under uncultured bacterium. RNAcentral describes it as "bacterial SSU rRNA". It matches the Rfam family "Bacterial small subunit ribosomal RNA", at positions 121 to 781 of the family's 1533-position model. The record is from RNAcentral.
GCAACCUGCCCAAAAGAGGGGGAGUAACACUUGGAAACAGGUGCUAAUACCGCAUAACCAUAGUUACCGCAUGGUAACUAUGUAAAAGGUGGCUAUACUACCGCUUUUGGAUGGGCCCGCGGCGCAUUAGCUAGUUGGUAGGGUAAAGGCUUACCAAGGCAAUGAUGCGUAGCCGAAUUGAGAGGUUGAUCGGCCACAUUGGGACUGAGACACGGCCCAAACUCCUACGGGAGGCAGCAGUAGGGAAUCUUCCACAAUGGGCGAAAGCCUGAUGGAGCAACGCCGCGUGGGUGAAGAAGGUCUUCGGAUCGUAAAACCCUGUUGUUAGAGAAGAAAGUGCGUGAGAGUAACUGUUCACGUUUCGACGGUAUCUAACCAGAAAGCCACGGCUAACUACGUGCCAGCAGCCGCGGUAAUACGUAGGAGGCAAGCGUUAUCCGGAUUUAUUGGGCGUAAAGGGAACGCAGGCGGUCUUUUAAGUCUGAUGUGAAAGCCUUCGGCUUAACCGGAGUAGUGCAUUGGAAACUGGGAGACUUGAGUGCAGAAGAGGAGAGUGGAACUCCAUGUGUAGCGGUGAAAUGCGUAGAUAUAUGGAAGAACACCAGUGGCGAAAGCGGCUCUCUGGUCUGUAACUGACGCUGAGGUUCGAAAGCGUGGGUAGCAAACAGGAUUAG